This 459-nucleotide ribosomal RNA is filed under the name uncultured bacterium. RNAcentral's name for it is "partial 16S ribosomal RNA". It matches the Rfam family "Bacterial small subunit ribosomal RNA", at positions 338 to 795 of the family's 1533-position model. The record is from RNAcentral.
CCUACGGGAGGCAGCAGUGAGGAAUAUUGGUCAAUGGGCGCGAGCCUGAACCAGCCAAGUAGCGUGAAGGAUGACUGCCCUACGGGUUGUAAACUUCUUUUAUAAAGGAGUAAAGUGAGGCACGUGUGCCUUUUUGUAUGUACUUUAUGAAUAAGCAUCGGCUAACUCCGUGCCAGCAGCCGCGGUAAUACGGAGGAUGCGGGGGUUAUCCGGAUUUAUUGGGGUUGAAGGGUGGGUAGGGGGAUUUUUAGGCAGGAGGGAAAACGUCCGGGCUCAACCCGGGACUGCCGUUGAAACUGGGGAGCUUGAGUGGGCGAGAAGCAGGCGGAAUGCGUGGUGUAGCGGUGAAAUGCAUAGAUAUCACGCAGAACUCCGAUGGCGAAGGCAGCCUACUGGCGUGCGACUGACGCUGAGGCACGAAAGUGUGGGGAUCGAACAGGAUUAGAUACCCGGGUAGUC